RNAcentral lists this ribosomal RNA (551 nucleotides) under uncultured bacterium. RNAcentral describes it as "bacterial SSU rRNA". It matches the Rfam family "Bacterial small subunit ribosomal RNA", at positions 355 to 896 of the family's 1533-position model. The record is from RNAcentral.
UGAGGAAUUUUGCGCAAUGGGGGAAACCCUGACGCAGCAACGCCGCGUGAGUGAUGAAGGCUUUUGGGUCGUAAAGCUCUGUCAAGUGGGAAGAACCCACAUGGUGUUAAUACCACCAUGUGUUGACGGUACCACUGAAGGAAGCACCGGCUAACUCCGUGCCAGCAGCCGCGGUAAUACGGGGGGUGCAAGCGUUAUUCGGAAUUACUGGGCGUAAAGAGCGCGUGGGCGGUCCUAUAAGUCAGCUGUGAAAGCCCGGGGCUUAACCCCGGAAGUGCACUUGAAACUAUAGGACUUGAGUAUGGGAGAGGGAAGUGGAAUUCCUGGUGUAGCGGUGAAAUGCGUAGAUAUCAGGAGGAACAUCGGUGGCGAAGGCGACUUCCUGGACCAAUACUGACGCUGAGGCGCGAAGGCGUGGGGAGCAAACAGGAUUAGAUACCCUGGUAGUCCACGCAGUAAACGGUGAUCACUAGGUGUAGCGGGUAUUGACCCCUGCUGUGCCGCAGCAAACGCGUUAAGUGAUCCGCCUGGGGAGUACGACCGCAAGGUUA